This 28-nucleotide non-coding RNA is filed under the name Bombyx mori (domestic silkworm). The record is from RNAcentral. Lineage: Eukaryota; Metazoa; Arthropoda; Insecta; Lepidoptera; Bombycidae.
UAGUAAAUGACAGGGUAUUACUAAUGUG